CCUGGCAGCUAGCUUCCUGCAACUCUGAUGGUCGCCCACUGAAGCUAAGCAGGUCUGUGCCCGGUCAGUACCUGGAUGGGAGACCACAUGGGAAAGCUAGGUUGCUGGCGGAA
This 113-nucleotide ribosomal RNA is filed under the name Danio rerio (zebrafish). The record is from RNAcentral. Lineage: Eukaryota; Metazoa; Chordata; Actinopteri; Cypriniformes; Danionidae.